RNAcentral lists this long non-coding RNA (3001 nucleotides) under Homo sapiens (human). Its description in RNAcentral is "long independently transcribed non-coding RNA 3099 (LINC03099)". Lineage: Eukaryota; Metazoa; Chordata; Mammalia; Primates; Hominidae. The record is from RNAcentral.
AGCCUUUGAUGGGGAGAGUCUGAGAUGGGACCCAGGAACAUCACCAUGAAGCUGUCCAGGAUGGAUGUGGGACCCUCUGUCAGACCAGGCCAGUUCUCUUAAUGUAAGAUCAGCAGGCCAAGGUCCUGGGAUAUGGGAGCUCCCAGGAAGUGGACUGGGAUGCCUGAGGGAUCCAAGAAUUAGCAGUGUCCUGUGUGGUCUCGCUGAGGGAAGCCAGGCAAAAUCUAGCGGCUCAGCUGUAACAGCCGGAGCUCUUGGCUCCCAAGCAACAGGAAACAAUUCUGGCUUAUUUAAGCAGAAAAGGACUUUAUCAAAAGGAUCUUGGGGAACUCACAAAAUAACCAAGAGGGCUGAAGAAUACAGUUGGUGAGUCGACCAAGGAGGCUGCACAGCAGUCAGGACCACAGCCAAAGUCAGGCAAUCCAGGGAUGACCUCGCUGCCAAAUCCAGGACUCCCUGGCAUACACUGCCACCUUGGGACGUGGAUAUGGUCCCUGUCGCCCCAGGAACUGGAAUGCCAUUGACUUGGCGACUGCCACCAUCCACCAGAAUGGACUUCUGUGCUCCUUGCAUCUCUGUAUUAUUAGUUCCCAACUCCAAGCCUUUGAUGGGGGCAUCUGAUGGAUUGAGCCUAAGGAUUCUGAUGGUGCCUGUUGGCUGCUUCCGUGAUGUCUGGAGUUGCAAAAUGUGCCAGAAAGCAGAAGGAUACACCGCUAUUCAGAGAGGAUUUUCUUAGGGACUUGAAGAAAUUGACCUCAAAAUUUCAGUAGAUGAGAGGACUGUGGCUGGCCUGUGUCUUUGGCACUGGUUGUUGGAGCCCAAUGAAAAAUUCUACAUUGAAGACUAAGGGAAAAAGAGGUUUCAUUAUAGAGCUGGGACUGAUUGCAUUUUCAAAAGGUGGCUGCAACAAUAUCCCACACACUUUUCUGCUGUAUAAUCUGCCACUUCUCCAUCAAGUAGAGGAGACAAUUUCUCCCCUCCUUUGAAUCUGAGUGAGUUCUGUGACUGUUUUGACUGAUAGAAUGAUGUGGAAGACAGACUGUGUGACCUGAAAGGUGAGGUCACAGAAAGCCUUGCAACUUCCACCUGGCCUGUGAAGAACACUUGCUCUUGGGAUACUCCUUCUUGGAACCCAGCCACCAUGCUGUAAGAAGCCCAAUCUACAUGCAGACACCACAUAUAAGGCAUCGUAGUCAACAGCCACAGUUAAGUUCCCAGCCGGCAGCCAACAUCAACUACCAGUCUUGUGAGUGAGCUAUCUUGGACAUCCAGCUUGGUUAAACCUUCAGAUGACUCCAGCCCCAGCUGACACCUGACUGCAACCACAUGAGAAACCAGGAAUGAAAAUCCACCAGCUGAGCCCAGUCAACUCAUAGAACUGUGAGAGAUAAUAAUAAGUUGUGGUACUAAGCCACUAGGAUUGGGGCACCAUGCAAUAAUAGGUAACCAAGACAGUAGCAACUUUGGUUAGACACAUGAGCCAUGGGAUGACACAUAAUUAGGUAUAUUUUUAAAAACUUGGAUUCAGCUUUAGGGCAAUGUGUCCCUAACAUAGAGAGGCACUAUUUCAGUUCACAUCUGCUGCCUCUGAUCAAAACACUCUCUUGCACUUCCAGAGAGAGAGAGAGAGAGAGCAAAUGUGUGUAUUUACUGACAGGUGUCCCUUUGUGUCCCCAUCUGUGUGACUGUGGAGCUCAGUGUCUCUCACACAUUCUAGUAUGAUACUUGGUGCCAUAUUUGCAGGUCCUGAGGUAAGAACCCAUGCUGUUGUCUUCAGAGAGUUUCAUGGGUUGGACUGUGCCAUAUAUGGGCAAAAAUCCACCCACACGUUUUCUUUUAAUCACCUUUAUGGAUGUAUAAUUUACAUAUAUACUUUUUUCUUAUUACUUUUUAUUUAUGUAAUUUAUUCAUUUUUUGAGAUAGGGUCUCACUCUCUUGCCCAGGCUGGAGUGCAGUGGAGUGAUCAUGGCUCACUGCAGCCUUGACCUCCUGGGCUUAAGCAAUCCUCCCACUUCAGCCACCUGAGUAGCUGGGACCACAGGCACACACCACCACUCCUGGCUAAUUUAAAAAGUUGUUUUUUUUUUUUUUUUUGUAGAGACAGGGUCUCACUAUGUUGUCAAGGCUGGUCUCAAACUCCUGGGCUCAAGCGAUCCUAGUGCCUCAGCCUUCCAAAGUUCCGGGAUUACAAGCAUGAGCCACCAUGCCUGGCAUCUUUUGUGGAUGUGUAAUUUACAUACGUACAAUAAUAUGUACCUAUUUUAAGUAUACAGUUUGAUGAGCUUUGACGAAUGUAGCCCACGAAACCACCACCAUAAUCGAAGUAUAGAACUUUUUUUUUUUUUUUUUUUGAGACGAAGUCUCUCUCUUGUCACCCAGGCUGGAGUGCAAUGGCAUGAUCCCGGCUCACUGAAACUUCCGCCUCCCAGGUUCAAGCGAUUCUCCUGCCUCAGCCUCCUGAGUAGCUGGGAUUACAGGCACCUGCCACCACGCCCAGCUAAUUUUUGUAUUUUUAGUAGAGACAGGGUUUCACCAUGCUGGCCAGGCUGGUCUCGAGCUCCUGACCUCAGGUGAUCCCCCCUCCUCGGCCUCCCAAAGUGCUGGGAUUACAGGCAUGAGCCACUGCGCCCGGCCUAUAGAACAUUUUAAUCACCCCAGAGAUGUGCCCCCUGUGCAGCCAGUUCCCUCCUCUCACCCCCCAGCCCCUGGCAAGCAUUGAUUUGCUUUGCCACUAUCAAUCAAUUUUUGUCUUUUCUGGUAUUUCAUAUGAAUGGAAUCAUAUAGGAUAGAUUUUUAUGUGACUACACACUAUUUUAGCAUAAUAUUUUUGAAGUUCUUCCAUGUUGUUGUGUAUAUCUAUAGUUAAUUUCUUUUUCUCACUGAAUUGUAUACCACUGUAUGAUGUAUCACAAUUUGUUUAUUCAUUCUCCCGUUGCUGGACAUUUGGACUGUUUAUUGUUUGGGGCUACUAUGAAUAAAACUGCUAUGGAUGUUUAUGUAC